Molecule: long non-coding RNA, 1539 nt
Filed under: Homo sapiens (human)
Lineage: Eukaryota; Metazoa; Chordata; Mammalia; Primates; Hominidae
Description: HSALNT0115268
Source: RNAcentral
CUAGGAAACUAGGUGGAAAGAGAAGGAUGAAGAAGAAAAAGAAGCUGAGAUUGAAGACAGGACCCUAGAGAAUGCCCACUUUAGAGAGCUGAGGAGCAAAACAGAAGGAGAGGACAAUAAGCCGUGUGUUCUCUCAAAGCUGGCUUACUCAAUUUCUCAAUACUGUUUCACAUUUCUGGAAUUUUCCUCCAAACUACCAUUUAUUUGCAUGCUUAUAUCAAAUGUACCACUUGCAUUAACACUUCUCUUACCAACCUAACCCAGUGACAUUUCUUCCUUCUCAGAGAGCCUCUAGCAGUUUUUAUCUAUCAUUAUUAUUUUUUUUUUUUUGAGAUGAAGUCUCACUCUGUCGCCCAGGCUGGAGUGCAGUGUCGCGAUCUCAGCUCACUGCAACCUCCACCUCCCGAGUUCAAGCAAUUAUCCUGCCUCAGUCUCCUGAGUAGCUGGGAUUACAGGCACAUGCCAUCACAACUGGCUAAUUUUUGUAUUUUUAGUAGAGACAGGGUUUCACCAUGUUGGUCAGGCUGGUCUUGAACUCCUGACCUCGUGAUCUGCCCAUCUCAGCCUACCAAAGUGCUGGGAUUAUAGGCAUGAGCCACCACAUCCGGCUAUCUAUCAUGACUCUGACCCUUCGCCAUAUUCUACUAUUUAGUAGGGACGUGCCCAACAUGACUAAAAGCACUGGAGCUAUAGCAACAAACAAUGCUGAACAGAAAUCAGCUAUCACUGAGUUUACAUCCAAGUUUGCACGGUACCUGAUGCAGACAGACAAUAAUCAAACAAAUGAAUAAAUAGGAAAACUUCAUAAGAAUUUGAGAGCUGUAAAGAGAAGUAAGAGUAGUAUUACUCGUGGAAGGGUAACACUACUUCUGAGAAAGUGACUUUGGGCAGAAUCUGAAUGACAAGAAACCAGCCAAGUAAAGAUCUGGGUAUUUCAAGCAAAGGGAAAAAGGGAACCACAUGUGCUGAGAUCCUGAGGAAGGAACAUGUUGGCGUGUUGGGGGGAAUAGCAAAAAAUAAAUAAAAAUAAAAGCUGGUGUGCCUGGAGUACAGUGAAUGGGGGAGAAGGAAUAGGAGAGAGAAUAUGUCGAAUGUUUUCAGCUGCAGAAGGAAAAUUUUUCUCUUGAGAGUAAGAUUUACACUGAGAGCUGUAAACUCAAGACCAUAGGACCUGAUUAAUAUAUCUAAAAUAUCUCUCCUGCUGUUGCAUGGAAACUGAAUCGUAUAAGAGCAAGUGUGGAAAUACGGAGACCAAAGAGUUAGGAUCCCAAUUGUAUCUCUGAAAAGAUAAAACAGUUACAUGAUGGGCGGGCAGCCUCCACUUCUACCCCAUUCUCUAACCUUUUCCAGACAUAGGGGCAUACAUCAAGCCAGAAGGUGACCAGACACAACUAUGAAAAUAAAUGUAAGAACCAAUCCACUUUAAGUGAACAAGAGUGAGUCCCCAAGCCCAAAAGAACUAAGAUCUCUUUUUUUUUUUAAAUUUUUUUUUUUUAUUAUACUCUAAGUUUUAGUGUACAUGUGCACAUUGUGCAGGUU